RNAcentral lists this ribosomal RNA (253 nucleotides) under uncultured bacterium. RNAcentral's name for it is "partial 16S ribosomal RNA". It matches the Rfam family "Bacterial small subunit ribosomal RNA", at positions 524 to 776 of the family's 1533-position model. The record is from RNAcentral.
UACGGAGGGGGCGAGCGUUAUUCGGAAUUAUUGGGCGUAAAGGGCGCGUAGGCGGCUUGACAAGUCAAAGGUGAAAUCCCUCGGCUCAACUGAGGAACUGCCUUUGAAACUGUCUGGCUUGAGGCCGGGAGGGGGUAGCGGAAUUCCCAGUGUAGCGGUGAAAUGCGUAGAUAUUGGGAGGAACACCAGUGGCGAAGGCGGCUACCUGGACCGGUUCUGACGCUGAGGCGCGAAAGCGUGGGGAUCAAACAGG